This 402-nucleotide ribosomal RNA is filed under the name uncultured bacterium. RNAcentral's name for it is "bacterial SSU rRNA". It matches the Rfam family "Bacterial small subunit ribosomal RNA", at positions 355 to 774 of the family's 1533-position model. The record is from RNAcentral.
UCGGGAAUUUUGGGCAAUGGGCGAAAGCCUGACCCAGCAACGCCGCGUGAGGGAUGAAGUAUUUCGGUAUGUAAACCUCGAAAGAAUGGGAAGAAUAAAUGACGGUACCAUUUAUAAGCUCCGGCUAACUACGUGCCAGCAGCCGCGGUAAUACGUAGGGAGCAAGCGUUGUUCGGAUUUACUGGGCGUGAAGGGCGCGUAGGCGGCGCGGUAAGUCACUUGUGAAAUCUCUGAGCUUAACUCAGAACGGCCAAGUGAUACUGCUGUGCUAGAGUGCGGAAGAGGCAACCGGAAUUCUUGGUGUAGCGGUGAAAUGCGUAGAUAUCAAGAGGAACACCUGAGGCGAAGGCGGGUUGCUGGGCCGACACUGACGCUGAGGCACGAAAGCGUGGGUAGCAAACA